This 82-nucleotide transfer RNA is filed under the name Dreissena polymorpha. Its description in RNAcentral is "transfer RNA cysteine (anticodon ACA)". It matches the Rfam family "tRNA". Rfam says of the family: Transfer RNA (tRNA) molecules are approximately 80 nucleotides in length. Their secondary structure includes four short double-helical elements and three loops (D, anti-codon, and T loops). Lineage: Eukaryota; Metazoa; Mollusca; Bivalvia; Myida; Dreissenidae. The record is from Rfam by way of RNAcentral.
GUUGUCGUGGCCGAGUGGUUAAGGCGAUGGACCACAAUUUUUUUGGGAUCUUCCCGCGUAGGUUCGAAUCCUGCCGACAACG